This 432-nucleotide ribosomal RNA is filed under the name uncultured bacterium. RNAcentral describes it as "bacterial SSU rRNA". It matches the Rfam family "Bacterial small subunit ribosomal RNA", at positions 29 to 507 of the family's 1533-position model. The record is from RNAcentral.
AACGAACGCUGGCGGCAGGCUUAACACAUGCAAGUCGAACGCCCCGCAAAGGGGGAGUGGCAGACGGGUGAGUAACGCGUGGGAACCUACCCAGUUCUACGGAACAACUGAGGGAAACUUCAGCUAAUACCGUAUACGCCCUACGGGGAAAGAUUUAUCGGAAUUGGAUGGGCCCGCGUUGGAUUAGCUAGUUGGUGGGGUAAUGGCCUACCAAGGCGACGAUCCAUAGCUGGUCUGAGAGGAUGAUCAGCCACACUGGGACUGAGACACGGCCCAGACUCCUACGGGAGGCAGCAGUGGGGAAUAUUGGACAAUGGGCGCAAGCCUGAUCCAGCCAUGCCGCGUGAGUGAUGAAGGCCUUAGGGUUGUAAAGCUCUUUCAGUGGGACGAUAAUGACGGUACCCACAGAAGAAGCCCCGGCUAAACUUCGUG